AAAAGAUCUAGGUUGAACAUUAUUAUGCUAGGCACACUCUCUAAAGGUUGGCAGGCAAUCCACGGCAUUUGGGAGCCCAGCAGUAAAUACUGUUUAGUCCUGAGACAUGUAGCGAGUGAGCAGUCCAAGAUGCUUUCCAGAGUGAGAAGCAUCUCAGCAGCACUAUAUCUUAACCAUUACUUAGCAUAUCAUCAGAACCGGGAUUCCAAUUCUAGAGGAUUUCUGAAAUUUCACCUCCUACUAAACUUUGUUCAGCCACUGGGAUAUGACACCUUUACAAUGCAAGGUACAUCUACACAAACACCCAGGGAAUGAUGCCGGCAGCCUCUGCCCCUCCAUUUGCUUUUCCACAAACCUACCAACCCGAAACAAGCAUGGUGCGGAGGGUUCGGGCCUUGCCCUGGAAGGGCUCUUCAUGGGUCAUCCAGCACGUCAACAAAACUUUGCCUGCAUAUUUGGGCUUGCCAGUCCGGGGGUCACAGCGCAGAGAGAAUCGGACACCAAAACCCAAAUAGUAGUGAUCAUUUGCUGUAAAAUACCAGCAGGUGUCUGGAAGCCUUCCCCUGGAUAUCAGACAAGCCUUGUUGACAGAAAUCUUUGGCAGAUGGUACACAAGUGGAAUGGAAGAUGUUCUAAAGUUUUCUGGGACAAUGUUAGUUAAAAGUAUACACAGCAUGGGACUAUUCAAGCGUUCAUCUCCCUUCCCCUGCUCUACAACACAGCUUAACGUUGGGAGCAGCAUGAGGAAAGGAGGGCAAUAAAAUAGACCUGUACAACA
RNAcentral lists this long non-coding RNA (778 nucleotides) under Struthio camelus australis. Its description in RNAcentral is "lncRNA (ENSSCUG00000017265.1)". Lineage: Eukaryota; Metazoa; Chordata; Aves; Struthioniformes; Struthionidae. The record is from RNAcentral.